ACUUGUUCCUUGAUUCAGCGGCGGACGGGUGAGAAAUGGCUAGGAAUCUGCCUGGUAGUGGGGGACAACGUUUCCAAAGGAACGCUAAUACCGCAUACGUCCUACGGGAGAAAGCAGGGGACCUUCGGGCCUUGCGCUAUCAGAUGAGCCUAGGUCGGAUUAGCUAGUUGGUGGGGUAAUGGCUCACCAAGGCGACGAUCCGUAACUGGUCUGAGAGGAUGAUCAGUCACACUGGAACUGAGACACGGUCCAGACUCCUACGGGAGGCAGCAGUGGGGAAUAUUGGACAAUGGGCGAAAGCCUGAUCCAGCCAUGCCGCGUGUGUGAAGAAGGUCUUCGGAUUGUAAAGCACUUUAAGUUGGGAGGAAGGGCAGUAAGCUAAUACCUUGCUGUUUUGACGUUACCGACAGAAUAAGCACCGGCUAACUCUGUGCCAGCAGCCGCGGUAAUACAGAGGGUGCAAGCGUUAAUCGGAAUUACUGGGCGUAAAGCGCGCGUAGGUGGUUUGUUAAGUUGGAUGUGAAAGCCCCGGGCUCAACCUGGGAACUGCAUCCAAAACUGGCAAGCUAGAGUACGGUAGAGGGUGGUGGAAUUUCCUGUGUAG
RNAcentral lists this ribosomal RNA (604 nucleotides) under Pseudomonas putida. RNAcentral describes it as "bacterial SSU rRNA". It matches the Rfam family "Bacterial small subunit ribosomal RNA", at positions 78 to 678 of the family's 1533-position model. Lineage: Bacteria; Pseudomonadati; Pseudomonadota; Gammaproteobacteria; Pseudomonadales; Pseudomonadaceae. The record is from RNAcentral.